GGAUGGGAGGGUGAUCUGGCGGUAGUGUCACCCCACUGAGAGUCUGGGUUAGUGGGGCGGAUCUCUUGGGCUUAGCAAUAUCCUUUCCCUCCCUCACUGCUAUAUAUGGGUCUUUCCCAAAGCUAGACAUUCCGUUGAAGACAAUCUUCCCCAAAAGAUCAGAACAGUCUUCGGUCAAGAGUAUAUAAGUAGUUGUGCUAACCUAUAAAAAUGAACUGUUUAUAGGAGAACAUAGGAUAGUCAACUUUCCAAGGCUGCAGAUACAGCAAAAUAAGGCUCUAUACUGUAGGGGUUUUUGUU
RNAcentral lists this small nuclear RNA (300 nucleotides) under Peromyscus maniculatus bairdii (prairie deer mouse). RNAcentral describes it as "7SK RNA (ENSPEMG00000004005.2)". It matches the Rfam family "7SK RNA". Rfam says of the family: 7SK was discovered as an abundant small nuclear RNA in the mid-70s but a possible function has only recently been suggested. Two independent studies have found that 7SK RNA binds the CDK9/cyclin T complex (known as elongation factor P-TEFb). P-TEFb activates transcription by phosphorylating the C-terminal domain of RNA polymerase II. The record is from Rfam by way of RNAcentral. Lineage: Eukaryota; Metazoa; Chordata; Mammalia; Rodentia; Cricetidae.